Alosa alosa (allis shad) is the source of this 376-nucleotide long non-coding RNA. RefSeq lists it as uncharacterized. Lineage: Eukaryota; Metazoa; Chordata; Actinopteri; Clupeiformes; Clupeidae. The transcript is spliced from 3 exons. The record is from RefSeq and is a predicted model, not a curated record.
AUGAACAAGAAAGAAAAGCUCAAAUGGUCAAUGCAGCCAUUGUCUUGCUGCCAUCAUUUUUCAAAGAAAAUCCUGCAUUCCUUUUUGUCAACGACCAGGAACCCAUUUCUCCCACACCCACCAUCGUGAUGACCGGCUCCAACCCCCUUGUCCAGCACGGAAGUAGCUUUGAAGAUGGAUGGUUGUAACAUGGUUUUAGAUGAUGGUAGCAUUGAUGUCAGUUUGGCCUUUCUCUUUUCCAUGUCUAUCAAGUUCACUAUCCCAAACCUCUCUGAAAGACACUGGCCUUUCUUGAGGCCUUUGUCUUUCAGAUGAAAAGUGCUGUUCCUCUGACAGUGCAGAAGCUGUUCAAUUCCCUUCACUGAUGUGUGUGUGU